Molecule: long non-coding RNA, 1150 nt
Organism: Etheostoma cragini (Arkansas darter)
Lineage: Eukaryota; Metazoa; Chordata; Actinopteri; Perciformes; Percidae
Exons: 5
Source: RefSeq, a predicted model, not a curated record
AAAGAUUUGAAAGUCAACACACAACAGUGGAGAUAAAGUAAAGUGGCCACAGGAAUGGAUACAGGUAUAACGUUGGUGAUGUGACAAACCUGAUAGCUAGGUUAGUUCAGAUAUCAGACCUCAGUUCAGUUUUUGCUCAUAAUGUAGCAGUUUACAGACCCCUCCUGCAGGCCUGGCUGUUUGGGGAACAGGUCAUAUUCGUAGGACCACAGUGUUUCCUCAGCAAGCUGCACAGGAGAGCUCUGCUGGAAUGCUGCUAAGCUGCAGAUGUACCAGCCAAAUUACUCCAGAGGGGAAUUACCAGGCCAUAAAUCCAGACGUCAGGAGGAUGGCUGUAGCCUAUUUCACGGCUACAGUCAGACCCUUAAGAUGAUUUGGAAGAAAUUGUGAUCACCUGGAAACCCUGCUUUUAGUGAGCCCUUGGGAUGAAAGGGAAAAGCAGUGGAAAAAGAGACAUCGGUUCCCGACAUGGGGAAGUCUUUGUUUCUAUUCUCUCCAUUCCAAGUCUCUCCAGGAAUCCUAAUUUCCACCAUUCACCUACCUAUCGGCAGAUAAAAGCUGGUUGAAGGGGGGGAUUUCCUCAAUUGAGACAGCUUGUAACCAGUCUGCAUAAGGGGGGAGCCGCACAAAGCUCUGGAGUGAGAGGAGGUUGGAGCACAGAUUUCAAAUCGCUUUGAAUUCGAACACACUGGUGAGCGAGUUGUUCUAAAGGACGUUUUCACAGAGACUGAUCUGAAACCUGGCUGGGACAUCUCUGAGCUGAGAGUUUGGAUAAGAACAGCGACACACAACACGAGAUCUCCACAAAUCCUAAAAUGUUCCCAAGAAACGAAAGCCCAGUUGUUGACACUGCUUGUGAGAGACUGAGCGUACAAUAGCUUUGUUUUGCAUUAUGUUGGUUUCUUGAAACCACUCUUAUUAGGGCUGUUGUCUUUUCUGGGGGGGAGGGUGCUUAGAUAGUGAUGUCCAAGUUCAGGGAAUGCCAGGCCUGGCAGCUGACGUCCUUAAUGUGGCUGCUUGGCAUUAGAGUGAGGGUGGGGAAAGUCCAUGCCAGUCUCUGGGGAGUGGGAGGUGUUAACUUCUAAUGGCUUUCUCUGCCACAGCCUUGACAUCUGCAGCGCUCCCAGCAAAAGAGAGUGAGGCCUUUUUG